Molecule: ribosomal RNA, 779 nt
Filed under: uncultured Neocallimastigales
Lineage: Eukaryota; Fungi; Neocallimastigomycota; Neocallimastigomycetes; Neocallimastigales
Description: partial large subunit ribosomal RNA
Rfam family: Eukaryotic large subunit ribosomal RNA
Source: RNAcentral
CAUAGCGACUAUCGUGGCAUAUCAAUAAGCGGAGGAAAAGAAACUAACAAGGAUUCCCUUAGUAACGGCGAGUGAAGCGGGAAGAGUUCAAAUUUGAAAUCUUCAAGGUUCUACCUUGACGAAUUGUAGUUUAUAGAAGUGUUUUCUGUCAGUAGGAGUGGCAAAAGUUCUUUGGAAUAGGACAUCAUAGAGGGUGAGAAUCCCGUAUUUGGUCAUUCCUCCUAGCUUUGUGAUACACUUUCAACGAGUCGGAUUGUUUGGGAAUGCAGUCCAAAAUGGGUGGUAAAUUUCAUCUAAAGCUAAAUAUUGGCGAGAGACCGAUAGCGAACAAGUACCGUGAGGGAAAGAUGAAAAGAACUUUGAAAAGAGAGUUAAACAGUACGUGAAAUUGUCAAAAGGGAAGCGUUUGACACCAGUGUUGUUUUUCCGAAAAUCAAUUACGAAUGUUUUAUUUUUGAGAAGUUAUGACUUCAUCGGCUUGCUUCUCUCUUUACUGAAACUUUCUUAAUGCACUUUUCGGUUAACAAGUCAACAUCAAUUUCUUUUGUUGUAAAAGGGUAAGAGGAAGGUGGCUUUCUCUUCGGACGCAAGUGUUUAUAGCCUUGUACCCUCUGCAAUCGGAGAGAUUGAGGUCUGCAGCGUAGAUCCUUCGGGGUUAGAUACAUUUGUGCUAAGUUAUAGCUUGUCAUAGACAACUUGUUGACUAUGUUCAGUCAUUGUAGCUUACUCGCUUAUGCUAUUUUACCUACGCUUAGGAUGUUGAUAUGCAUGACUGAUAU